RNAcentral lists this small nucleolar RNA (85 nucleotides) under Cephalotus follicularis. RNAcentral's name for it is "Small nucleolar RNA SNORD24". It matches the Rfam family "Small nucleolar RNA SNORD24". From Rfam's summary of the family: U24 is a member of the C/D class of snoRNA which contain the C (UGAUGA) and D (CUGA) box motifs. C/D box snoRNAs have been shown to act as methylation guides for a number of RNA targets. Lineage: Eukaryota; Viridiplantae; Streptophyta; Magnoliopsida; Oxalidales; Cephalotaceae. The record is from Rfam by way of RNAcentral.
GGCCGGUGAUGUGGUGCUUGUAUUUGCUACUCUUGAUGGGAGAAACCCCAUCUGAUGAUGUUUAACCACCAAGAUCUCUGAGGCC